Non-coding RNA from Anolis sagrei ordinatus, 2125 nucleotides. NCBI's taxonomy places the organism in Eukaryota, Metazoa, Chordata, Lepidosauria, Squamata, Anolidae. The record is from RefSeq and is a predicted model, not a curated record.
CCUGUCUGGCUUUCUCCUCUUUUUUUAGAUAUUCAGAACAAAACUUUUCUUUAAGUUUGUUCUCCAUAUUUCCUGGCCCAAUAGGGUUAAUUUAAUAUAAGUGGGUUUGGGUAUGGUGAAAUGCUUGGAUUCCUUGUAGCAGAAGUAGAGAAUCCUGCCCACAUUUUCGUCGAGAUUUGAAAAGAGCUGUCCAAGAUGAUGAACCUAUUUUAAGGAUAGAACUCAGAUAAGGUUUAAAACUUGGGUGUUUCCAGUAUGACAACUGUGCCAGUGGUAUCUUUUUUAAAUGUGGUGUGUAGUUGUGUAGACAGCAGCUUCCCUGGGUUACCAGAAGCAAAUGUUGUGUUAAACCUGCAGGAGUAGCAUAUGGGAUUUGGUAUAAAGUGAAUUGCUGCAUUCUAAGGCAAUUUGGAGGUAUGCUUUGUGGCUUUUUGUGUGUGUGAAAAAUCAGCUUUAAAAAGAAAUAUGGAGAUUUGAAGGCUUUGUAGAGAGAUUGGGAAGCCAUGAUAAUGGAGCCCACCAGUCACACUUUUUCCAUCUCUGCAUGAAACCGAAUUUCAAAGAAGUCAAUACCUCAACAGGAAGGAUCUCAAGUAUCAUUGAAGAUGGUUUUUGCAUAUGGCUGCUAUGUCUUUUCUACUGCUCAAAGCCAAAUGAUAGCUUGGUAUCAGUUGGAUCUGAAUGUAUAGGCUGACCAAACAGUUUCUCCUUAUACUUACGCUCAACUUUCAGUUGUAUUCUUCAUAAACUAAGGCUAUAGUUCAAAUGCACACAUUUGGGUUCAAUUCCCAGUGAACUCAUUGAGAGUUACUUUUGAGUUAAUGUAUGUAUCUGAUUAUGUCUUCAGUCCUGUUUUGUGUUCUUGCACACAGAAAACAUCAGCUCUUUCAACUUCCCCUUCCUUACAAUUUUCUUUGUAAAAAUUAUCAGAAUUCUCCUACUGGUUUCAAGCAGAGAUGUUUCAGGCAAAGGUGUUAAUUUCCAGUUUUGUAAAAAUCCAUGGGAUUGACUGGAGAAAGAUCAUUACAAAAGAUCAAUUGUUCACUCUCCGCCCCUACUUUUAGUGGAUUUAACCUUGGAACCAUUCCAGCUGUGUUAAUAAGCCACAGGAAGAAGCAGAGAACAUAUAUGUAUAUUUAAAGAAAAUCUUUCUUUUACCUAAUGCUGUGAUUGCUAAGUAGGAGCAGCUGCUCACUUGAAGCCAGUUUCUGUUGCUUAACACAUGACAUUAAUAACAAAGGACAAGACUUGAACUUAGUUCACAACUAGUAGUUGGUUGAUUUACAUUCAGUAGCAGGCGUUUGAUGUGGCUUUCAAGCACAAGGUCAACUCUGCUUAAUAAGAAAUAAAGUAAUACUGCAUAGUUUGACUUUGAUAUUUUGUAAUCAUCUGUAUUCCAGAAAUAUAACUUUUUUCAAAAGAGUUAAUCAAGAAAUUUGGGAAUGACAGAAGCAUCUCUCAGAUGUUUUUUUACCAGACUUUUGUGUAUAGUAAGGAGCAGCAAUGCAUUCCAUUUUUAUUCAUUCUUCUAUAAAAGUAAAACAAAAAAAGAACAAAACACCUAAAUGACUGAUAUUUUUAAAAUAAUAAAAAUGUCAGAUACAAAACAUUAAAGUGAAAAUAAUUUUUAUCCUGGUGAGUUGAAAAAAUAUUACUGUUGCAGCUGAAAACUCCAAAGUGUAUAUCAUGCCCUCUUUGGAAUGAAAAAGUGGAGUGUAAUCCUCCCCCUUCCCCAAGUAUUCCUAGUAAGACAGUUGAGAUGAUGUUCUGCAAAUUACUGAUAUUUCUGUUACCAUGACCAUAUUGAACUAGAAACUUACUGUUUAUGCUUUUUGUUCUGAGCAUUGCUUUUAAUAGCUGUGUGGAGAGGCAGGUAACAAAUUGUUGUUAUAUUGAGAAUUGCUAUGGUAAGAAAUCUUGUCUUUAAGGUUGUUUAAAUGUUCAACUUUAAAGAGAAGAUUUCUUUCCACAGCCGUUCUCAUGAGAAAAAGGAAUAAUCUUCUCUCAAUAUAAUUAUAUUUCAUUAAUUUUGUUUAAAUUUUAAACAAAGCUACUGGAAGCUGAUUAUCCUGAAAACUGGGAAUGCAGAUCAUAGGUAUGCUUUUGCCAUCUAGCUUUUUAAAAA